RNAcentral lists this ribosomal RNA (253 nucleotides) under uncultured bacterium. RNAcentral's name for it is "partial 16S ribosomal RNA". It matches the Rfam family "Bacterial small subunit ribosomal RNA", at positions 524 to 776 of the family's 1533-position model. The record is from RNAcentral.
UACGGAGGGUGCAAGCGUUAUCCGGAUUCACUGGGUUUAAAGGGAGCGUAGGUGGGUUGGUAAGUCAGUGGUGAAAUCUCCGAGCUUAACUUGGAAACUGCCAUUGAUACUAUCAGUCUUGAAUAUUGCGGAGGUCAGCGGAAUAUGUCAUGUAGCGGUGAAAUGCUUAAAUAUGACAUAGAGCACCAAUUGCGAAGGCAGCCGGCUACGCAUAUAUUGACACUGAGGCUCGAAAGCGUGGGGAUCAAGCAGG